UGAACGCUAGCGGGAGGCUUAAUACAUGCAAGUCGAGGGGUAACAUGAAACUUCGGUUUUGAUGACGACCGGCGCACGGGUGAGUAACGCGUACAUAACCUACCUUCAAGAUGGGGAUAGCCCUGGGAAACUGGGAUUAAUACCCUAUGUGAUUGCGAUUUAAUAAUAAGACGUAAUUAAAGCUUUGGUGCUUGAAGAUGGGUGUGCGUUAGAUUAGCUAGUUGGUACGGUAACGGCGUACCAAGGCGACGAUCUAUAGGGGGCGUGAGAGCGUGGACCCCCACACGGGUACUGAGACACGGACCCGACUCCUACGGGAGGCAGCAGUAAGGAAUAUUGGACAAUGGGCGAGAGCCUGAUCCAGCCAUCCCGCGUGCAGGAUGACGGCCCUAUGGGUUGUAAACUGCUUUUAGAUAGGAAGAAAUGUAUGGAUUUAUCCGUAUUUGACGGUACUAUCAGAAUAAGCACCGGCUAACUCC
RNAcentral lists this ribosomal RNA (479 nucleotides) under uncultured bacterium. Its description in RNAcentral is "bacterial SSU rRNA". It matches the Rfam family "Bacterial small subunit ribosomal RNA", at positions 30 to 504 of the family's 1533-position model. The record is from RNAcentral.